RNAcentral lists this ribosomal RNA (402 nucleotides) under Triticum aestivum (bread wheat). RNAcentral's name for it is "partial small subunit ribosomal RNA". The record is from RNAcentral. Lineage: Eukaryota; Viridiplantae; Streptophyta; Magnoliopsida; Poales; Poaceae.
AUGUGCCCGAUAAAACAGGAAAACUUGAUCCAUGAUGACCAGAAAUUGAUAUUGCUGGCAUCUCUUAGCGACUCCUUGGAAUAUUUAGCAGAUUCAGUUGAAAGGCUUGGUGAGUCAUUUAUAAGUCCAUCCACCAUCUCAGAAAACAAAAGUGACAUACACCAAAGUCACCAUACUCGCACAUCUAGUGCAAUUCCGAAAAGCCUUGCAUCUCUUGCUAAUGAGUACAGAAGGCUAGCAACCGAUUGUGUUAGAGUCUUGAGAUUGGAAAUGCAGUUGGAGACAAUAUAUCACAUGCAGGACAUGACAAAAAGAGAAUAUGUAGAAGAUCAAGACGCUGAAGAUCCUGAUGACUUCAUCAUCUCUCUUACAACUCAGGUAGGCCAGCCCACGUUAGUAUGA